Molecule: long non-coding RNA, 1278 nt
Organism: Grus americana (Whooping crane)
Lineage: Eukaryota; Metazoa; Chordata; Aves; Gruiformes; Gruidae
Exons: 3
Source: RefSeq, a predicted model, not a curated record
AGGAAACCAAAGUACAUUGCUCUUCUGUGCACUAACUCAACAAUCCAGUCAGCUGGAACGUACAAAAAGGAACACAUGGCCUAAUAUCAUUUGCAUUGAUUGGAUGUGAAUUUCAGUUAUUACAAUCCAACUGUCUAGAAGGAUUGGGAAUUUGGUGGUUAUUUGUUGUGUUAUUUGUGUGGUUUUAUUUAAGAGAGAGCAAAUGAAGGUAGUGUAGUUCUUUGACAAUGGGUACUUACAGUAAGCUUCUCUGAUUUCUUCUCCAGCAGUGCUUUAAAAUUCACCUAGUUUGGCAGAAUAAGUACAAUUCCAUUAGGAAGGGGACAGUAGAAAUUUCCUACUAAUUUGAUGAAGAUGGACAAUUCUCUAUUUUUAUAUUACGAAGAACUGUGGGAUCUUGUCGUUUCUGGCAACCUGUCACAUAACCUCUCUGCCAUUUACUGUUAGGAAGAGCUUGUUCUAUUUCACUUUUUAUCCUCUCCAAAUGAGAGCAGUUGACAGACCUGAUAUUAAAAAGUAAACUUUUUUUCACCAUUAUACAAAAUUUAUUUUUAGCCUCAGAAAUCCAAUUAAGCUCACACAAUCAUGUCCCCCAACAUAAAAAUAAAUAAUAGUGUAGUCAUAAAUGACACCAGUUAAACAAUGGGUGUGUUUAAUCAAAAUUUGAAAGGAUCUUGCUGGAUCAAGACCUGGCUUGUUAAAGUUUGACCAUUGGUGUUAUGCUUGGUAGUAAGAAGAACAGUGAUUUCUGUUUGUGUGCUUUAUGAUUCAUUUAUUACGGAUUAUUGCAAAUCCAUGUUUCUUUCGGCAGGUAUCAUGAGAUGUGUGUAUCUUCUUUGGCAAUGACGUCUAGCAGCAUUCUGUGCUUAUGGAAACUAUUUUCUCUUCUAAUUCAUGUUACUGGAACACCGGGCUCUAAGAUCCCUAGAAUAUAUAAUUUUAUGCUGUUUUCCAACUUCUGCUCCAUCUUCUUAAAAUGCAUUUCCAUUUUGACCCAAAACACAGUCACUUAGAGGUAACAAACCUUCAUUUGCAAGUGCAGCAAUACCACAGAAUUGCUCUUCAUAUUUCAAAGAGCCAAAUAUUUUCCUUUAUUCUUGAUUCCUGGGAUGACCUCUUUAACAGCUUUUAGCCCUCAUCUGAUCUAUGGUAGCUGCAUGUGACCUGUGUUAGCUGACACAAUUUGGAAAAGUGAUGUACCGUAACUAUAAAUAUCUGAUUUGUGACUCUGAAUGAACCUUUGAAUGUUCUGCAAUAGGUGUUUAGUUUAGGAUUGUG